AUGGAAUGAAAAAUGUUUUUCGAGAGUGGUUUUUACUCUAGCUUGUGUUGGCUAGAUGUGACAAUAACUCUCAUGAAUUGUUAUUGUUAAGCUUGUGAACCAAGCUUUGUAAACUUUAAAUGAAAUUUGAAGUUUACUUGUAAAAUGAAAUUUUAUUUACCGCAUUUAAAUUUUACGCUUUCCGCAUUUAAAUUGCUGUCGAUAUUUCCUGC
This 212-nucleotide long non-coding RNA is filed under the name Oryza brachyantha (malo sina). RNAcentral describes it as "long non-coding RNA (OBRA_LNC000272)". Lineage: Eukaryota; Viridiplantae; Streptophyta; Magnoliopsida; Poales; Poaceae. The record is from RNAcentral.